UGGAAUGUGGUUCAGUGGUAGAGCACUUGCUUAGCAUGCAUGAGACCCUGGGUUUGAUUUCCAGCAAUGUAA
Molecule: non-coding RNA, 72 nt
Organism: Ictidomys tridecemlineatus (thirteen-lined ground squirrel)
Lineage: Eukaryota; Metazoa; Chordata; Mammalia; Rodentia; Sciuridae
Source: Rfam